Molecule: unclassified non-coding RNA, 334 nt
Filed under: soil metagenome
Description: partial contains 5.8S ribosomal RNA, internal transcribed spacer 2, and large subunit ribosomal RNA
Rfam family: 5.8S ribosomal RNA (bases 1-120)
Source: RNAcentral
GAUGAAGAACGCAGUGAAAUGCGAUAAGUAAUGAGAAUUGCAGAAUUCAGUGAAUCAUCGAAUCUUUGAACGCACAUUGCGCCCGCCAGUAUUCUGGCGAGCAUGCCUGUUCGAGCGUCAUUUCAACCAUCAAGCCCCAGGCUUGUGUUGGAGCCCUGCGGCUGCCGCAGCCUCCCAAAACCAGUGGCGGGCUCGCUAUCACACCGAGUGCAGUAGUUUACUCUUCGCUCAGGGCGUGUGGCGGGUGCUAGCCGUGAAACCCCCAACUUCUCAAGGUUGACCUCGGAUCAGGUAGGAAUACCCGCUGAACUUAAGCAUAUCAAUAAGCGGAGGA